This 4802-nucleotide long non-coding RNA is filed under the name Podarcis lilfordi (Lilford's wall lizard). The record is from RNAcentral. Lineage: Eukaryota; Metazoa; Chordata; Lepidosauria; Squamata; Lacertidae.
UACGAAGCUAUAUUUGAAACGGUCUGAAAAGUAACAGUGGACAACUUGCUCCCAGUAGUUGCUUGAUCCAAUUGCUUCAGACAAAUAUCAUGGCAUUCCCGUCUAGUUCUGUACCCUUGAAGCCUGAAGUGAUGCUCUUUGGGUGCUGAUUAUCUUUUUGAUCACUUCUGAAGCCUAAACCUCCCUGUUUCCAUAGCUAUUAACAUAAGAGGGGAGGAUAACACCUUUGGAGAUACUCUGACAGAAAUGCUUCAUAACUCAAAGAGUUCACAGAACACAGCAGGACUUCCAAACAUGAAGUCAAAGCUCUUUUUGCUUCAUUCUGGUUCCUAAUAUAAAUUUAAAAUCUUUGCUGGCUGGAGAACUGACUUUCCAAAUGCAUCUCUUCUGUAUUCUUUUCUGCAUUGGCAAAUGACAUAUUAACAUAAAUAGUGUGCAAGAGGCUCAGAGGUGAUCCAAGUCUGACAUCUGGAAAUGCUGUGCAAAUAUUUGAUUACGUCAGUCCAAAUCAGAACUGUCACCAAGUUAAAUAUAUCUUAGAGUUGUCUCCAAUGUUAGUCCUAUUCAGAGUGGAUCCACUGAAAAUAGUUCAUUAAGCAUGUUUAUUAAUUUCAGUGAAUUUACCAUAUGUAAGAGUAACAUUGGAUCCUCCCAUAAGAGUUGUAGUCAACUAAGCCCUACUCAGAGUAGACUCAUUGAAAUUAGUAGACCUAAGCUAGUCAUGUCUGUUAAUUUCACUGGUCCUAGCAUUGAAUACCACACUUAGUAUUUGAGUGGUAUGAAUUUUAAGCUGUUAUCCUAUGCAUUCUUACCUGAGAGUAAGCCCCAUGGAACACAAUGGCCCUUAUUUCUGAUUAAAUGAGCAUAAAAUUGCACUGUGAAUCAAGUAUCAUGCAACCCUAUGCAUGUUUACUCAGAAGUAAACUAUAGUGAAUUCAAUGAGACUUAAUCUCAGAUAAGCGUAUCGUAUUGCAGCCUUAAAUUAAUUAAGUCUGCAUGUGAGUAAAUCUUUCUGAAGGGACAGGGAAAGACUUCCUCCACAUAAACACUUUGUUGUUGUUGUUGUUAAUUGAUUAGUCUAACAAAUUAUUAAUUAGCAGCAAUUACAAAUCAUCACAAAGGCACCAAUGAUUCUGGCACUUGCCAGAAUCAUUCCAAAGGCACCAAAAUGGCUUUGCCCAGGCCACAAAUGAGCUAUUUGGUGGGGCCUGAGUGCAAACCCUGCUUUCAGCCCAUCUGACAACAUAGGGCAAGUCGGCAUGGCUUGGCUAAAAUGGCCUGGCAGACCUUAUUAGAUCCACAGGCCAGAAGUUCCCCGUACUAAUCUGAUUCUGUCCUAAUUCCAGUAUAUGUAUGUGUAUAUAUAUGUGUGUGUACACACACACACACACACACACACACACACAAUUUCAAGAAAGAAGUUAUAACUAUAUUUGACUAAAAUCAUUAAUAUUUCAGAAUGCUGUAAUGAAAUUAAAUCCUGCUGAUGAGAUUUAGAUAUUCAUAACAUUCUCUGUAUUACAUCACACAUGGGAUGUGUGUGGUGUGUGUGCGUGUGCUUGAUUCUCCAGAAAAUCAAGGUUCUGUUUCCAAAUUGUCCUGCAAGUGAAACCUCCAAUUAACAACAACAACAAAACUAAGGCAUUUUGGAUGUAUUUGUUAUGACCUGGCAGAUAAUAUCCUGAAAUUAAGAGAGGUUAUUUUAUACGUAGAAUGGAAAUCAUGCAUUGAGCCUGCAAUUCUGUACCCAUUUAUCUAGAGUAAGCUCCAAUGUACUUGAUGUACAGUGGUACCUCGCAAGACGAAUGCCUUGCAAGACGAAAAACGCGCAAGACGAAAGAGUUUUCCGUUUUUUGAGUCGUUCCGCAAGACGAAUUUCCCUAUGGGCUUGCUUCGCAAGACGAAACGUCUUGCGAGUUCUUGCGAGUUUGUUUCCUUUUUCUUAAAGCCGCUAAGCCGUUAAUAGCCGCUUAAAGCCGCUAAGCCGCUAAGCCGUUAAUAGCCGCUAAGCCGCUAAUAGCCGUGCUUCGCAAGACGAAAAAACCGCAAGACGAAGAGACUCGCGGAACGGAUUAAUUUCGUCUUGCGAGGCACCACUGUAUUGUUAGAAUGUUGGAUUAGGGACCAGAAGACCAAGGAUCAAACCCCCACAUGGCCAUGAAACUCAGUGGGUGACCUUGGGCCAAUCAUUCCUUCUCAGCCUAACCUCCUGCAGAGGGGUUGUUGAGGAGAACCAUAUAUGCCACUCUGAGCUGCUUGUGGGGUGGGGUGGAAGGUGUGAUAUAAAUGCAAUGAAUAAAUAAAUAAAUAAAUGCUGCUAAGUGGGUAAGUACAACCUAUAUUUUAGUAAUGUUACAGUUAGAAGAUAUAUGGUUAGCUCAAGAAGUUACAUGUGAACAUCCUAAUUAGUCAAUGUGAAUGUGCUUGUGCAAUUUAAAAUAUACAAUAAGAACUAUAGUUACCAGUGCCUUUUUAUUAGUUUGGCUGCCAAAAAAAAUUCACAGUAUUUAAUAAGUUCAAAAACAGGGAUUGCUUUGAAGAAUUAAAAACUUAAAACAUAUGCCAAGCUUUUUUUUUUUUUUUUGCUUGACAUCUCUUUUUUCUUUUUUUUAAGAAAGCAGUAUGAUGUAGGGGUUAGUGUUGAAUUAGGACCUGGGCAACCAGAGUUCUUUUUUAAAAAAAUAUAAUUUUUAUUAACAGGCUAAUCAAAUCACAUUAUUUCCAAAUCACAUUAAUUCCAAAUUAUACAGCCAAAUUUUUAAAUUUUCUUGGGGGUACCCAUACUUCAAGCUCUGAACGGGGGUCCAAGCAUCACUUUUAUUGCUGCUUUAAUUAGACAGUUCUAUCCAGUUCUAUCCGGAUAGUCUCUUUAUUACUUUCUUCAUCUUCUUGUUAUUAUCGUAUAUUCCUUUCUUUGCAAUCUCUGAUAAACUUCACAAGCGGGUUGGAAGCAAACAUCCUCUGUGUGGGUUUUACACUCUCCAAAAAUCAUAUCACAUAGGGACAGCCGCCAUUCCACACCUCCGUAAAGAAUUUAUCCUCGGUCUGUCCAUUAAUUUUCCCAGGCUUUCCAAGUAUAUCCGAGGGCUCUGCCAGGUUUAGAUCACAUUCCAAUCAUCAUUCACAUUCCGAUGAUCCUGGUCCUCCUCCCCCUGUCUUUCUUAGACAAGCCUGUCUUAGCGAGGCGCCAUUUAAAACUGCGUCAUAAAAUUUUCCUCCGUUCUCCGGUGUUUACCAAUCGUCUCUUUGAUCCAUAAUUCUCCCCACGCAGUUCUUAAAAUCCUGCUUGUGAUUAAUAAAAUGCAACGAUUCUUCUUUUCUGGGGUGGAGGGUUAUUAAUACUCACAUAAGGCAAAGAAAAGAAAAGUUUUUUCCUCCACCCCCCUUCUGUUUCACUCCAAACAUACCAGUCUCUUAAUGGUGAUUCAUCACUUGAUUUAUUUGUCCCGCCCGUUGCUCCGGUCCCAGAGAUCCAUUAAUCAGCAGUCUUAGCUCCCAAACCUCGCUUGAUGUAUGUGCUUCAGCUUCUUUCCAAUUAUAUAUUUCCAAUUAUAUUUUCGAGCUGAAGCGAACCAGUACGCUGAUUGGAGAAAGCGUCAGGAAGAGCCGACUUCACCGAGGGCUGGUGCCAAGUGACCGGGCACCCCCUUCUUUCGAUCCGGGGGUGCAUUAUGGACACCGCUGGCAAGGCAGUCCCCCCCAUCUCCUUGGGGGGUCGGGAAGGCUGCAUACUUCCCAUAGCAGCCUCUUAAUUACCUCGGGUGUGUCGGAGAGAUGUUAUUGUCAGCCAUCUUCCAAUGCGCCACCUAGUGGCCCCCCCGGGCGACCAGAGUUCAUACCCCUGCUCAGCCAUGAAGCUCACAUGGUGGCCUUCGGCUAGUUGCUGUCUCUCAGCCUAACCUACCUCACAGGGUUGUCAUGAGGAUAAAAUGGAGAGGUGGAGAACCAUCUACAUCACCUUGAGCUCCUUAGAGAAAAAUAUAUUAAUUGCUAAGUGACUGUAUAGAGGUCCUCACACUCCUAUUUUUUGAAAUCUCAAUAACACCUCCAGUUUGUGCUUUGGGGUGAUCAUUCUUAACAAAUUCUGAGAGAUAAAUAAUCUUUCUUUAAAUUGGCUGGUAAUUAAACUCUUGGUGUAGACAUGACGCUGUAACCCAAGUGUGUCUAUUUCCUUUGCACUUCCUCUUUCAUACUAGAAUGCAAUAAGUUUUAGUAAGUUAUUAUCCUCUUAUCAAUAAUUGGGCUGGAUGCACACCCAUCAUUUGGGGUGUGGUUCUAUAUUUCAAAAGGAAUCAAGCCACCUUUGUAUCCAAACUCCAAUUAGUCAUCUUUUCCAUCUCUUCUUUAACAAUCCAUGCAAUUCUUGCAGCAUAGUCAUUGGAAACUGUGUGAUCUGAUAUUUGAAUAUGUUUAAAUCUGGUUUUGGUUAGGAAUUCUUUAAAUAUGGAACUAGUGAAGUUUGUCCCAUUAUUGUCACAAUUAUGUAUAAUCACAAAUAAGGAUAGUCCUUGGGUAGCAAAGCUUUGUGUAAUCCAGAAAGUGCUGUCAUUCUCAAUAUUUAGUUCUGUACUCCUGACUUUUGAGGUGGCAACAGACUUCUCAAAAGGAAAUAUAUCUGACAGCCAUAGACACAGAGAAAAAUUACUUUCUGUUUGUCCUCAUUUGUGAUUUCACGUUAUUCAUUGCUGGGAAGAAACUGAAAGGAACUAGCAAGAAUAGUUGAAGGGCCAAGUUGUGGCCCUGCCCUGUCAGAAUGACAGUGUAAGUUUAUGUUACAUUUUCUAAAAAAUUAUUAUGUUGAC